This 766-nucleotide ribosomal RNA is filed under the name uncultured Neisseria sp. RNAcentral describes it as "bacterial SSU rRNA". It matches the Rfam family "Bacterial small subunit ribosomal RNA", at positions 71 to 832 of the family's 1533-position model. The record is from RNAcentral. Lineage: Bacteria; Pseudomonadati; Pseudomonadota; Betaproteobacteria; Neisseriales; Neisseriaceae.
CAGAGAAGCUUGCUUCUUGGGUGGCGAGUGGCGAACGGGUGAGUAACAUAUCGGAACGUACCGAGUAGUGGGGGAUAACUGAUCGAAAGAUCAGCUAAUACCGCAUACGUCUUGAGAGAGAAAGCAGGGGACCUUCGGGCCUUGCGCUAUUCGAGCGGCCGAUAUCUGAUUAGCUAGUUGGUGGGGUAAAGGCCCACCAAGGCGACGAUCAGUAGCGGGUCUGAGAGGAUGAUCCGCCACACUGGGACUGAGACACGGCCCAGACUCCUACGGGAGGCAGCAGUGGGGAUUUUGGACAAUGGGCGCAAGCCUGAUCAGCCAUGCCGCGUGUCUGAAGAAGGCCUUCGGGUUGUAAAGGACUUUUGUCAGGGAAGAAAAGGCUGUUGCUAAUAUCAGCGGCUGAUGACGGUACCUGAAGAGUAAGCACCGGCUAACUACGUGCCAGCAGCCGCGGUAAUACGUAGGGUGCGAGCGUUAAUCGGAAUUACUGGGCGUAAAGCGAGCGCAGACGGUUACUUAAGCAGGAUGUGAAAUCCCCGGGCUCAACCUGGGAACUGCGUUCUGAACUGGGUGACUAGAGUGUGUCAGAGGGAGGUGGAAUUCCACGUGUAGCAGUGAAAUGCGUAGAGAUGUGGAGGAAUACCGAUGGCGAAGGCAGCCUCCUGGGAUAACACUGACGUUCAUGCUCGAAAGCGUGGGUAGCAAACAGGAUUAGAUACCCUGGUAGUCCACGCCCUAAACGAUGUCAAUUAGCUGUUGGGCAACU